Molecule: ribosomal RNA, 301 nt
Filed under: uncultured bacterium
Lineage: Bacteria
Description: partial 16S ribosomal RNA
Rfam family: Bacterial small subunit ribosomal RNA
Source: RNAcentral
CAGUAGCCGCGGGAAUACGAAGGGUGCAAGCGUUACUCGGAAUUACUGGGCGUAAAGCGUGCGUAGGUGGUGGUUUAAGUCCGUUGUGAAAGCCCUGGGCUCAACCUGGGAAUUGCAGUGGAUACUGGGUCACUAGAGUGUGGUAGAGGAUAGUGGAAUUUCCGGUGUAGCAGUGAAAUGCGUAGAGAUCGGAAGGAACAUCUGUGGCGAAGGCGACUAUCUGGGCCAACACUGACACUGAGGCACGAAAGCGUGGGGAGCAAACAGGAUUAGAUACCCGUGUAGUCCCUGUCUCUUAUAC